RNAcentral lists this unclassified non-coding RNA (203 nucleotides) under Hevea brasiliensis (rubber tree). The record is from RNAcentral. Lineage: Eukaryota; Viridiplantae; Streptophyta; Magnoliopsida; Malpighiales; Euphorbiaceae.
AAAUUUCUCUUCCCCACUGCCCGCAUAUCUGUGGCACCCAUGCCGUAGAAAUGAUGAGCUUGAGCUUCACCUCCAAAUCUAGCCUCCAUGAAUCAAACCCAGAUACCGAAGAGAUCCAAAUUCACAAACUGAACCGACAGUGAAACAAAAACACCAGAAAAUUAAAUCCACUCCCCUUAAAAUAUCAGAGCUUUAAUUAAACC